RNAcentral lists this ribosomal RNA (472 nucleotides) under uncultured bacterium. RNAcentral's name for it is "SSU rRNA". It matches the Rfam family "Bacterial small subunit ribosomal RNA", at positions 26 to 518 of the family's 1533-position model. The record is from RNAcentral.
AGAAUGAACGCUGGCGGCAUGCCUAAGACAUGCAAGUCGCACGAGAAAGUAGCAAUAUGAGUACAGUGGCGCACGGGUGAAUAAUACUUGGAUAAUGUGCCCUUUCGCGGGGAAUAACUAGGCGAAAGCUUAGCUAAUACCGCAUGACCCGACGUUGGCUGUGGCCAAUUUCGGUAAAGCCGUAAGGCGCGAUUGGAGUAGUCCGAGUCCCAUUAGCUAGUUGGUGAGGUAAUGGCUCACCAAGGCUUUGAUGGGUAGCUGGUUUGAGAGAGCGAUCAGCCGCACUGGAACUGAGACACGGUCCAGACUCCUACGGGAGGCAGCAGUUAGGAAUCUUGCGCAAUGGGAGAAAUCCUGACGCAGCGAUGCCGCGUGAGGGACGAAGGCCUUCGGGUUGUAAACCUCUUUUAGUUGGGAAGAUACAAGACGGUACCAACAGAAAAGCACCGGCUAACUCUGUGCCAGCAGCCGC